Antechinus flavipes (yellow-footed antechinus) is the source of this 1090-nucleotide long non-coding RNA. RefSeq lists it as uncharacterized. The transcript is spliced from 3 exons. The record is from RefSeq and is a predicted model, not a curated record. NCBI's taxonomy places the organism in Eukaryota, Metazoa, Chordata, Mammalia, Dasyuromorphia, Dasyuridae.
GGGAGCCUCAGGGGUGGGGAGGGAGGUCGCUGGUCUCCCGGGAGCCUCAGGGGUGGGGAGGGAGGUCGCUGGUCUCCCGGGAGUCUCAGGGGUGGGGAGGGAGGUCAGUGGCCCCCCGGGGAGCCUCAGGGGUGGGGAGGGAGGUCGCUGGCCCCCCGGGGAGCCUCAGGGGUGGGGAGGGAGGUCAGUGGCCCCCCAGGGAGCCUCAGGGAUGGGGAGGGAGGUCAGUGGCCCCCCGGGGAGCCUCAGGGGUGGGGAGGGAGGUCGCUGGCCCCCCGGGGAGCCUCAGGGAUGGGGAGGGAGGUCGCUGGUCUCCCGGGAGCCUCAGGGGUGGGGAGGGAGGUCUCUGGCCCCCCAGGGAGCCUGGUACACAUACUGGGAUUUCUGGGGUAACUGCUGUGUUUCUGAGGUUCCCUGAGGGCUCUUUCACCUGCUACUCUGGCAGUUUCCAGCAUUGAGUAGGUGCUUACUGUAUGCCCAGACACAGGGUACAGUGGAAGGCCAAAGCAGCCGGUGUUGGGCAGCUCAUGAGAGAAUAUGUGAUCAGUCCACAAAGGGAUCUUAAGCACCUACUGUGUGCCAGACGCUGUGCUGAGCCCUGGGACAGAGGGCCAGAUGGUUCGGCCUGAGGCUGUCUCUCCAGUUUGGAGCCGGGGACAGAGGGAGGGGGCAUUUAGGGUUAGGGCACAGGUGGUGGCCAAAGGCCUGUGAAAGGAUUCCUUCCUUGGGGUGCACUAGGGUGAUGCCCAUUUUACAGAGGGGGCCACUGAGGCAAGCAGCCGACAGCCUGGGGCCCCGGACGGGCCUUCUCUGCCUCAGGAACUGGGCUGGCUUUCCCAAGGCGGGACACUCCUUGGGCUCGGCAGCUCUACCCCAGAAACGGGGGCGGGGUUAGAGGCCCGAGGCGGGGUUAGAGACCCGAGGGCGUUACUGCGCCUCGGAGAAGGCUGGCUUUAGCUUCCGCCACGCUCAACAUGGCGACCCGCGCGCUCCGUCUCCGACCCCCCCUUCUAGCAGAGCGACUGCGCCGGCGCGAUGACGGGGCGGCCAAUCAGGCCCCAGCCACGCUCACUAUGGCCGCGCUCAGCGC